AGAACGAACGCUGGCGGCAUGCCUAACACAUGCAAGUCGAACGAGACCUUCGGGUCUAGUGGCGCACGGGUGCGUAACGCGUGGGAAUCUGCCCUUCGGUUGGGAAUAACACAGAGAAAUUUGUGCUAAUACCUUAUAAUGUCUUCGGACCAAAGAUUUAUCGCCGAGGGAUGAGCCCGCGUAGGAUUAGCUAGUUGGUGGGGUAAUGGCCUACCAAGGCGACGAUCCUUAGCUGGUCUGAGAGGAUGAUCAGCCACACUGGGACUGAGACACGGCCCAGACUCCUACGGGAGGCAGCAGUGGGGAAUAUUGGACAAUGGGCGAAAGCCUGAUCCAGCAAUGCCGCGUGAGUGAUGAAGGCCUUAGGUUGUAAAGCUCUUUUACCAGGGAUGAUAAUGACAGUACCUGGAGAAUAAAGCUCCGGCUAACUCCGUGCCAGUACGCCGC
RNAcentral lists this ribosomal RNA (447 nucleotides) under uncultured soil bacterium. Its description in RNAcentral is "bacterial SSU rRNA". It matches the Rfam family "Bacterial small subunit ribosomal RNA", at positions 26 to 518 of the family's 1533-position model. The record is from RNAcentral.